UAGCAAGUCGAACGAGAGGGCCCAAGGAGAGAGAAGAAAUGGAAAGUGCUUGCACUGGAAAUGGAAAGCUUUCGAAUUGGAAUUUCCCUCGAGUGGCAAACGGGUGAGUAACACGUGGGUUACCUACCUCUAUGAUGGGGAUAACAGUUGGAAACGAUUGCUAAUACCGAAUGUGCUCUACGGAGUAAAGAAGCCCUUAAAGCUUCGCAUAGAGAUGGGCCUGCGGUGCAUUAGCUAGUUGGUGGGGUAAUGGCCUACCAAGGCAGCGAUGCAUAGCCGAGCUGAGAGGUUGAUCGGCCACACUGGGACUGAGACACGGCCCAGACUCCUACGGGAGACAGCAGUUAGGAAUAUUCGUCAAUGGGGGAAACCCUGAACGAGCAAUGCCGCGUGUGCGAAGAAGGCCCUAUGGGUUGUAAAGCACUGUUGUUUGGAACGAAAACUUAUGAUAGGAAAUGAUCAUAAACUGACGGUACCAUUCAAGAAAGCCACGGCUAACUACGUG
RNAcentral lists this ribosomal RNA (505 nucleotides) under uncultured bacterium. RNAcentral describes it as "bacterial SSU rRNA". It matches the Rfam family "Bacterial small subunit ribosomal RNA", at positions 55 to 507 of the family's 1533-position model. The record is from RNAcentral.